GAGAGUUCGAAAGAGAGGGAGUUCAUACAUUCAUCUGAGUGAAGAGAAAAUGACCUAACCGAACCAUCUAGAAUGCCUACUACUCAUGAUAUAUUGGGCUGCCUUAUUAUAUUGGGUCAAAGAAAUGAAAGUGGGCUAAUUCUGUUGCUGGCCCAAAAACAAGAUAUUAAUAAAAAAAGGAUUACAAGCUAAUUAAAUAAAAAUGUACAAAAAAUCAGUGUUUAUGCUUGGGUUUAGAGGCUAAAUAGUCCAUUAGCCCAACACCCCCCCUCAAGUUGAAGGGGGAAACCACCUUCAACUUGCCCAAAAAGAUCAUGAUGAACAAUUCCAGGAAAAUCUUUGGUGAGAACACCAGCUAACUGUUGAGAAGUGGAAACAUGAGAUAGAGAAAUCAGCCCAUCAGAAAGCUUAGUCCGGACAAAAUGACAAUCAACCUCAAUGUUCUUGGUCCGCUCAUGAAAAACUAGAUUCCUGGCUAUAUGUAAAGCAGCCUGGUUAUCAAAAAAUACAUAAAAAGGAAGAGACAUAGAAACACCAAGGUUAGUGAGUAGUCUGGAAAACCAAGACAAUUCAGCAACCACCUUGCUAAGAGCCCUGUACUCUGCUUUAGCAGAAGAUAAGGACACCACUAGUUGCUUUUUGGACUUCCAACUUACCAAGCUACCCCCUAAGAUCACACAGAAACCAGUGACAGAUCUGCGAGUAUCAGGCAAGCUGCCCAGUCACUGUCUGAAAAGGCAUGUACAGAAAAAUCAGGAGACUUAGAAUAGAAAAGCCCCAAAUCCAUAGUGCCCUUAAGAUAUCUAAGAACAUGCAGGGCCAACAGACAUGUGAGGUAUUCUAGGAGACUUCAAGAACAGGCUCAAAUGUUGUACAGCAAAGAAAAUAUCAUGUCUGUUAUGUGUCAAAAAUAGAUGCUUCCCAAUUAGGCUUCUAUACAUGUCAGGAGAAGGGAACAGAUCACCAGAAUUAGCAUGUAGUUUGGUGUUAAGGUCUAAAGGACAAGUUUGAGGAGAAACUGCAUGACAGUUAAAUUGCUGUAACAAGUCAGAGACAAAUUUCUUCUGAUUAAGAAGUACCCCACCAGGAACAGUAGACACCUCAAUUCCCAGAAAAUAAUGUAAAGACCCCAGGUCUUUAAUUCUAAACUGAUCAUCCAAGAAAUGUUUAAGGGCAGAAAUUUCAGUUGUAUCAUCUCCAGUGAUAAUGAUAUUAUCCACAUAUACUGCCAGCAGUAUAAGACAGCCAAGCUGACCCUUUAUAAACAAAGAGUAAUCAUUCAGAGAGUGGAUAUGACCUCUGGAAUUCAUAGAUUGAGACAAUUUGGUAUACCAUUGUCUUGAGGCAUGUUUUAACCCAUAGAGUGACUUCUUCAAUUUGCACACAAAGGGAGUGGAAACAUAAGAGACAGUAGGAGCAGAAAUGUUCAAACCUGGAGGUAGCUUCAUAUACACUUCCCCAUCUAGGUCACCAUGAAAGAAGGCAUUGUUGACAUCAAGUUGAAAAAGAUCCCAAUGUUUCUUAACAGCUACAACAAUCAAACAUUUGACAGUAGACAUCUUAAUCACAAGGGAAGUUGAAAGAGAUCCCAGUGUUUCUUAACAGCCACAUCAAUUAAGCAUUUGACAGUAAACAUUUUAAUCACAAGGGAAAAUGUUUCUGUGAAAUCAACCCCCUCAAUCUGGGUGUCUCCUCUAAUAACAAGCCUAGCUUUAUACCUUUCAACACUGCCAUCAACUCUAUAUUUUAUCUUAUAGUCCCACUAGCAACCUAUGGGUUUCUUACCAGGAGGAAGGGAAACAACAUCCAAGUGUGGUUGGCAUCCAAUGCAUCAAACUCCUUUCUCAUGGCAUCCUGCCAAGCUGGAACUGUGGCAGCUUGAGAAUAGUAAAAAGGUUCAGAUUCCAGAUUGGAAGUAGAGGAAGAAGAUCCAAAAAAAGAAGGUAGUUGACACACAUAGUCUUUGAGAUAAUAAGGAGUGGUGUGUUGCCUUCCAGAUCUUUUGUUGAUAUGAGGUUGUGUAGAGGAAGAAAUAGCAGGAGGUGGAAUAUCAAGAUUAAAGGAUGGAGAAGGAAGAGGUUCAGAAGGUGUGGAGUCAGAAGCAAAAGAAGGAUCAUAGCUGGAAGCAGAAGAAAAAUAGUCAGAAGGAGAGGGAACAGGUGAACAAGGUGGGACAGAAAUGUGUGUCCCAGAAUCUUGGUUAUCAGAAAAAGGUACAAUAGGAGGUGGAAAAGAAAAUAUAGCAGAACCAGAGGUAAUAUCAGAAUUAGUUGCAAAAGGGAAAGAUGUCUCAUGAAACACAACAUCCCUAGACACAAAACAUCUUUUGGAAACUAGAUCAUACAACUUGUAAUCCUUUUUGGCAAAAGGAUAUCCUAUAAAAACACAUGAAAGUGCUCUAGGUUUUAGUUUAUUUCUCUAUGGAAUGGGGACAGUAGCAUAAGCAAGACAACCAAAUGCCCUCAAAUAUGAGUAAUUAGGAGUCUUACCAUAUAGCACUUCAUAAGGGGAUUUGUUUUGAAGAAUUCUUGAUGGAAUCCUAUUGAGCAGAUAUGUGGCAGUUAAUAAACAGCCCCCCCCCCCAAACUGAUACAGGCAGUUUGGACUGAAAAAGUAAAGCUCUACAAGCUUCAAGAAGUGUUCUGUGUUUUCUUUCAACAACACCAUUUUGUUAGGGAGUGUGGGGACAUGUAGUUUGAUGGAUAAAACCCUGUUGAUUGAAGAAAGAAGCCCCAUCAAGGCUGGACCUUAAUUCCAAGGCAUUGUGACUUCUUAUAGUUUGAAUAGUAGCACCAAACAGAGUUUUAACCAUGGACAGGAAGGACUUAAUCAUGCAAAAAUCAUUGCUCUUAUAUCCCAGUAUAUGAUUCCAGGUGGCCCUAGAAAAAUCAUCAACUAUUGUAAGGAAAUAUCUUGAUGCAGAGGAAGUUGCUGUGUGGUAAGGACCCCAAGUAUCUACAUGAAUUAAUUGGAAAGGUCUGCUUGUAUUGAUGGAACGAUCAGGGAAAGGAAGCCUAGUUUGCCUAGCCAUAGGACAAAUAGAACAAGGAAAUGAUUGUUUAGAAGCAAAGGAAAGAGACAAGGCAGAAAUUUGUUUCAUAUUUGCAAAAGGAAUGUGAGCAAGUAUUAAGUUCCAAUUGAAGUUCAUGUCAUUUCCAUUAGCAUUAUUACAAAUGGAGUUAUUUACAGUGAAAGGCAAAGGAACAGCUUUAGAGCUAGAGGCACAAACAAAAUUAUAAGAAUCAGAAUAAGAACACACAGAAACAGGCUUGCAAUAACUAGAAGAGGAAUGUGAGGGUGGAAUCCAAGCAAGCUUGUACAGACCAUCCUCCUCCUUACUAUGAUCCAGAGGCAUCCUCAGAGAAGGGGCCUGUAACAUGUGAAGAAAACAGGAAGUUGCAGUAAACAAGACUAUACAGUGCAACUGCUUUAUCAGUUUGUGGACAGAGAUUAAGUUGAAUUUGAAAGAAGGAACAAACAACACAUUAUGAAGUGUGAUAAAUGGGGUUAAAGAAAAGGAUCCUGUGGAGAUCACUUUUACUUUGUAUCCAUUGGGAAGAGUCACAAGAUAAGGUACAGUUAAGGGUGUGAUAUUAAAGAGUAAACCUUUAUUAGAUGUCAUAUGGUCAGAAGCUCCUGAGUCUAUUAUCCAAGAAAUAGAGUUGAUUUGAGUAAGCAUACAGAGUUUGGAAGCAGAAACAUGAUUCUCAGUUAGCAUAGUACCAGCAAAGUUGUAUCCAAGAAAUAGAGUUGAUUUGAGUACGCAUACAGAGUUUAUAAUCAGAAACAGGAUUCUCAGUUAGCAUAGUACCAGCAAAGUUGGAAGUACACAUGGGAGUGAGAGCCUAUUGGAGUCUCCCAACUGAGUCUGUUGAAGCAAAGUCAUCAAUUGAUAAUAUUGUUGUCUGCUCAAACCUGGAACCACAGAACCUUGUUCAUCAACAUUUGGAACAGAUUGGUGACCCUCAGUGGAAUUACCAGUAAGAUCAGAUGUGUGCCCUUCAGAAAGAUUGAAGUGAUUACCAGUAGUUACAUGAGCACCAGGAGUUUUCCUUCCUUUGUUAAACUUGAGGUUUUGUGGAUACCCAUGAAGCUUGUAACACUUAUCAAUUAAGUUCCCAGACUUCUUGCAGUAUCUACAGAAUAAAGACCCCUUGGUCUGAUCAAAACUGACUCUUUGUGUAUAUUUGUCUGAGAGAAGAAGGAUUAGGUACUGCAGCUUGAUUCAUUCCAAAAGAAGAUGCAGGAUUUUUAUUUGUAUUAACACUGAAAGACAUGGGAUCAGGAUUAAAUUAAGAGUUGGAUUGGACUUGUCUUUGUUUCUCAUCAUUGAGGAGAAUGUUAUACACACUGUCAAGACUAGGGGGAGGUUGCAUCAUCAACAAGUUGCUCCUUACCCCCAUGUAUGUCUCAUUAAGGCCCAUGAGAAAUUGGAACACCUUAUUUUCCCCAUCCUCUUGUAUGAUCCCAUUUUUGGCAGCACAAAUGCACCUUUGGCCAUGAUUUAUACACUCUACUCCCAAUUCAUCCCAUAACCCUUUGAGUUUGUUAAAAUAUGAUGCUAUAUCUAGAGAACCUUGAGAAGUAUGAGUAAGUUCUCUUUUGAGUUCAAAAAUUUUAGUCCUAUUAGCACUACCAUAUCUGUCUUGCAGUUGUG
This 4657-nucleotide long non-coding RNA is filed under the name Nicotiana benthamiana. RNAcentral's name for it is "long non-coding RNA (NBEN_LNC013941)". The record is from RNAcentral. Lineage: Eukaryota; Viridiplantae; Streptophyta; Magnoliopsida; Solanales; Solanaceae.